Small nucleolar RNA from Paramormyrops kingsleyae, 75 nucleotides. RefSeq annotates it as small nucleolar RNA SNORD61. Lineage: Eukaryota; Metazoa; Chordata; Actinopteri; Osteoglossiformes; Mormyridae. The record is from RefSeq and is a predicted model, not a curated record.
GCAAUGAUGAAAUUAUGGCAACAUUCUGAUUCAGCUGAUUUUUGCCUUUUUUGUCCUCUAAGAAGUUCUGAGCUU